This 464-nucleotide ribosomal RNA is filed under the name uncultured bacterium. RNAcentral's name for it is "bacterial SSU rRNA". It matches the Rfam family "Bacterial small subunit ribosomal RNA", at positions 330 to 792 of the family's 1533-position model. The record is from RNAcentral.
UCCAGACUCCUACGGGAGGCAGCAGUGAGGAAUAUUGGUCAAUGGGCGAGAGCCUGAACCAGCCAAGUCGCGUGAGGGAAGACGGUCCUAUGGAUUGUAAACCUCUUUUGCCGGGGAGCAAAAAGCGGUACGUGUACCGCAUCGAGAGUACCCGGAGAAAAAGCAUCGGCUAACUCCGUGCCAGCAGCCGCGGUAAUACGGAGGAUGCGAGCGUUAUCCGGAUUUAUUGGGUUUAAAGGGUGCGCAGGCGGGGAGUUAAGUCAGCGGUAAAAUUGGGAGGCUCAACCUCGUCGAGCCGUUGAAACUGGUUUUCUUGAGUGAGUGAGAAGUAUGCGGAAUGCGUGGUGUAGCGGUGAAAUGCAUAGAUAUCACGCAGAACUCCGAUUGCGAAGGCAGCAUACCGGCGCCCAACUGACGCUGAAGCACGAAAGCGUGGGGAUCGAACAGGAUUAGAUACCCUUGUA